Molecule: ribosomal RNA, 253 nt
Filed under: uncultured bacterium
Lineage: Bacteria
Description: partial 16S ribosomal RNA
Rfam family: Bacterial small subunit ribosomal RNA
Source: RNAcentral
UACGUAGGGGCAAGCGUUGUCCGGAUUUAUUGGGCGUAAAGAGCUCGUAGGUGGUUCGGUAAGUCGGAUGUGAAAUCUCCAGGCUCAACCUGGAGGGGUCAUUCGAUACUGCCGUGACUAGAGUUCGGUAGGGGAGUGUGGAAUUCCUGGUGGAGCGGUGAAAUGCGCAGAUAUCAGGAGGAACACCUAUGGCGAAGGCAGCUCGCUGGGACGUGACUGACGCUGAGGAGCGAAAGCAUGGGGAGCGAACAGG